Molecule: long non-coding RNA, 602 nt
Organism: Teleopsis dalmanni
Lineage: Eukaryota; Metazoa; Arthropoda; Insecta; Diptera; Diopsidae
Exons: 2
Source: RefSeq, a predicted model, not a curated record
AUUAAUUUAUACUUAUAGGUAAUGCUGCUUGUAAAUCCUACCAAAGCUGUUACUGUACCAUAUACAAUUUGGAAUAUCAUGACAUCACGCGGCUUAUUGCUUAUUGCUUACAGCUGAUUAGGUCUAUUAAAUUAUGCGAUAUGGAGUCAAUGUCGUCACUAAAAUACUAGACCUGUCGGAUUCUGUAUCUGAUGUUUUUUUUUCGCAUUUCAUACGAAUUACUAGUGCGAUGGAUGUUAAAAAACUCAUUGAUGAAAUCGAAAUUUAUUUGACAAAAUGUAUGCGAUAAAAAGAAGGAAAUUAUUUUUAAUCCAUUUAAAUGUGGGCUUAAAAUUUCGAAUUUAGAUAAAAAAAGACUUAAAUAGAAAGUAUUAUUAACGGGAAGUUUAACCAAAUAUGCACCUAUCCAAGAAGAAAUGUUUAUGCAAGGCGAAUAUAUGUUACAACCUCUCUAAUGACAAAUGAAGAGUGAUUGUGAAAAUAAAAAAGAACAAUUUCAUUUACAAAGGAAAAAUAUAUAACUGAACGACAUUACUGAGGAUAUUUUCUUAAUAAAAUAGAAUACUAGAACAAGGAAAGUCACCAAUGUUGCAAAUUUUAUU